This 465-nucleotide ribosomal RNA is filed under the name uncultured bacterium. RNAcentral describes it as "partial 16S ribosomal RNA". It matches the Rfam family "Bacterial small subunit ribosomal RNA", at positions 338 to 795 of the family's 1533-position model. The record is from RNAcentral.
CCUACGUGAGGCUGCAGUAGGGAAUCUUCCACAAUGGGCGAAAGCCUGAUGGAGCAACGCCGCGUGGGUGAAGAAGGUCUUCGGAUCGUAAAACCCUGUUGUUAGAGAAGAAAGUGCGUGAGAGUAACUGUUCACGUUUCGACGGUAUCUAACCAGAAAGCCACGGCUAACUACGUGCCAGCAGCCGCGGUAAUACGUAGGUGGCAAGCGUUAUCCGGAUUUAUUGGGCGUAAAGGGAACGCAGGCGGUCUUUUAAGUCUGAUGUGAAAGCCUUCGGCUUAACCGGAGUAGUGCAUUGGAAACUGGGAGACUUGAGUGCAGAAGAGGAGAGUGGAACUCCAUGGGUAGCGGUGAAAUGCGUAGAUAUAUGGAAGAACACCAGUGGCGAAAGCGGCUCUCUGGUCUGUAACUGACGCUGAGGUUCGAAAGCGUGGGUAGCAAACAGGAUUAGAUACCCGGGUAGUC